This 427-nucleotide ribosomal RNA is filed under the name uncultured Candidatus Protochlamydia sp. Its description in RNAcentral is "bacterial SSU rRNA". It matches the Rfam family "Bacterial small subunit ribosomal RNA", at positions 355 to 774 of the family's 1533-position model. The record is from RNAcentral. Lineage: Bacteria; Pseudomonadati; Chlamydiota; Chlamydiia; Parachlamydiales; Parachlamydiaceae.
UCGAGAAUCAUUCGCAAUGGGCGAAAGCCUGACGAUGCGACGCCGUGUGUGCGAUGAAGGCCUUCGGGUUGUAAAGCACUUUCGCUUGGGAACAAGAGAGAUUGGCUAAUAUCCAGUUGAUUUGAGGGUACCAGGUAAAGAAGCACCGGCUAACUCCGUGCCAGCAGCUGCGGUAAUACGGAGGGUGCAAGCAUUAAUCGGAUUUAUUGGGCGUAAAGGGCGCGUAGGCGGGCAUGUAAGUCAGAUGUGAAAUUCCGGAGCUCAACUCCGGAACUGCAUUUGAAACUGUGUGUCUAGAGGGUAGGGGGAGAAAAUAGAAUUCCACAAGUAGCGGUGAAAUGCGUAGAUAUGUGGAAGAAUACCGGUGGCGAAGGCGAUUUUCUACCUUACACCUGACGCUGAGGCGCGAAAGCAAGGGGAUCAAACA